UGCACUGACUGCAGAGAGGUACCUCACAGGGUGGUGGGAGGAUGUAUGGGAAGAAAAGAGAAAAAUACAGGUGUGAAAGGUGAGAGAAAUCCUGCAAGACUGGCAUGGCAAAAAUUUCUUUUAAAUCACUCUUUUCUAGAAGCACCCUCAAGGCUCUAAAUGAGACCACACAAAUGGAAAUGAAGACUGGAGUCCAUCUGACCUGUGCAGCACUGACAGGCUCAGUUACUACAAACUUGAGCAGGCAGUCCCAGCCCUGGCCUUGACAAACAACCUUCUUCAGAGCUCAGCUGAGAAUUCUCCAUGGAUCUGAAUGAAAGGCAUUGAUUGUUUGGGCCAUAAAGAAAGAAGGAGAAGGAGAAGGAGAAGGAGAAGGAGAAGAAAGAGUGAACGAUAAAUACAUAUUCUUAUUGUAUACUAGAUUGACAAUUGUGUAGAAACUCCCUUCCUAUGCAAAAUCCUAGAAUAUUUACUGUUUUGCCACACCUGCAUUAUGUAAUGCUUUGGACAGGUCUAGCUUUGCAGGACUGCAAAGAAGAUGAGCACACCAAAUCCAACAAGGCCAAGUACUCUAAGGACAGAUACCCAGAACUUCCCGCAGAAUACGAAAUGAUGCCAUUGGAAUGAAUACAAUAAACUUCAUCAUGAGGAAUUUCCCUUUCAACUCAGAAACAACAUUCCUGAAAUGCUGUUCUGCGGAAAUUUGUCACCACCAAAGGACAACUACAGUUAGCAAAAACAUCUGUGUUCCUGAAGAAUGAAUUGCAUUUUGCCUAUCAAACUCCUAGAAUAUCACACUCAGUAAAAGAAGUGGACUUCUCUCAAAAAUGAAUUGCCUCAGUUUCAGUCUGUGGUACAGAGUGGGUAGUAUUGACUCAACCUGAAGAUGGAAUUUUAAGACUCUACAGCUUUUUAUUCACAUCUUCCUGUUUUGCAAUAGGUUGAGCAGCUAGUAGAAAGAAAAAAGCAGCAGUUUAGCUGCAUAAGAUAUGUGAUAUACUUGUUAUGUCUACAACACAAACUAUCAUCAAAACUUACUAUUGCAAGCAUCAUACAUUAGCUAUGCUGGAAAAUGAGAAUCCUUAUUGAUAUGUGAAACUAAAGCUCUUAUAUCUUAAAAUAACAUCUAGUGCACUGUCUGCCCCUCUCCUAAUGCUACAGGUUUGGUCUUUGCUUUUAAGUAUAAACAAACAAACUGUCCAUAAAUCUGUUUGUGAAAGUCUAUAACGCAAUGUUUGUAUCAAUAAAAAAGCAUUUCAGCUUAUUUUAUAAUAUUAAAAGCUGAGCAGAAUAAUGCAAGUAGCUCAUACUCGAGCUGUAAUUACUGUUAAUUUAAAAAAAGAAAAGAAUAAUUGAGGAAGCAGUUAGAUGACUAAGGUCACUUAAACCCAUUAGAUGUAAUAGCAGAGUACAGUCAGGCCUGGU
Poecile atricapillus (Black-capped chickadee) is the source of this 1425-nucleotide long non-coding RNA. RefSeq lists it as uncharacterized. Lineage: Eukaryota; Metazoa; Chordata; Aves; Passeriformes; Paridae. The record is from RefSeq and is a predicted model, not a curated record. The transcript has 4 exons.